CNAGCCAUGCCGCGUGUGUGAUGAAGGCCUUAGGGUCGUAAAGCACUUUCGCCNGAGAUGAUAAUGACAGUAUCUGGUAAAGAAACCCCGGCUAACUCCGUGCCAGCAGCCGCGGUAAUACGGAGGGGGUUAGCGUUGUUCGGAAUUACUGGGCGUAAAGCGUACGUAGGCGGAUCANAAAGUAGGGGGUGAAAUCCCAGGGCUCAACCCUGGAACUGCCUCCUAAACUCCUGGUCUUGAGUUCGAGAGAGGUGAGUGGAAUUCCAAGUGUAGAGGUGAAAUUCGUANAUAUUUGGAGGAACACCAGUGGCGAAGGCGGCUCACUGGCUCGAUACUGACGCUGAGGUACGAAAGUGUGGGGAGCAAACAGGAUUAGAUACCCUGGUAGUCCACUGCUG
RNAcentral lists this ribosomal RNA (398 nucleotides) under Sulfitobacter sp. Asnod3D04. Its description in RNAcentral is "bacterial SSU rRNA". It matches the Rfam family "Bacterial small subunit ribosomal RNA", at positions 388 to 802 of the family's 1533-position model. The record is from RNAcentral. Lineage: Bacteria; Pseudomonadati; Pseudomonadota; Alphaproteobacteria; Rhodobacterales; Roseobacteraceae.